RNAcentral lists this ribosomal RNA (239 nucleotides) under uncultured Lactobacillus sp. RNAcentral describes it as "partial 16S ribosomal RNA". It matches the Rfam family "Bacterial small subunit ribosomal RNA", at positions 122 to 356 of the family's 1533-position model. The record is from RNAcentral. Lineage: Bacteria; Bacillati; Bacillota; Bacilli; Lactobacillales; Lactobacillaceae.
UAACCUGCCCAAGAGAUCGGGAUAACACCUGGAAACAGAUGCUAAUACCGGAUAACAACAGAUGAUGCCUAUCAACUGUUUAAAAGAUGGUUCUGCUAUCACUCUUGGAUGGACCUGCGGUGCAUUAGCUAGUUGGUAGGGUAACGGCCUACCAAGGCGAUGAUGCAUAGCCGAGUUGAGAGACUGAUCGGCCACAUUGGGACUGAGCACGGCCCAAACUCCUACGGGAGGCAGCAGCG